RNAcentral lists this non-coding RNA (88 nucleotides) under Pseudomonas tolaasii NCPPB 2192. The record is from RNAcentral. Lineage: Bacteria; Pseudomonadati; Pseudomonadota; Gammaproteobacteria; Pseudomonadales; Pseudomonadaceae.
UUUGGGAGCUGGCUUGCCUGCGAUGGCGUCACCUCGGUUCACAUGAAAAACCGAGUCGCCUGCAUCGCGGGCAAGCCCGGCUCCCACA